This 254-nucleotide ribosomal RNA is filed under the name uncultured bacterium. Its description in RNAcentral is "partial 16S ribosomal RNA". It matches the Rfam family "Bacterial small subunit ribosomal RNA", at positions 524 to 776 of the family's 1533-position model. The record is from RNAcentral.
UACGGAGGAUGCAAGCGUUAUCCGGAAUGAUUGGGCGUAAAGCGUCCGCAGGUGGCAAUGUAAGUCUGCUGUUAAAGAGUCUAGCUCAACUAGAUAAAAGCAGUGGAAACUACAUAGCUAGAGUACGUUCGGGGCAGAGGGAAUUCCUGGUGUAGCGGUGAAAUGCGUAGAGAUCAGGAAGAACAUCGGUGGCGAAGGCGCUCUGCUGGACCAUAACUGACACUCAGGGACGAAAAGCUAGGGGAGCGAAUGGG